Molecule: ribosomal RNA, 850 nt
Filed under: Streptomyces sp. 206
Lineage: Bacteria; Bacillati; Actinomycetota; Actinomycetes; Kitasatosporales; Streptomycetaceae
Description: bacterial SSU rRNA
Rfam family: Bacterial small subunit ribosomal RNA
Source: RNAcentral
GGGGCGAGGCGGGCUACCUGCAGUCGACGAUGAACACUUCGGUGGGGAUUAGUGGCGAACGGGUGAGUAACACGUGGGCAAUCUGCCCUGCACUCUGGGACAAGCCCUGGAAACGGGGUCUAAUACCGGAUACUGACCUUCACAGGCAUCUGUGAUGGUCGAAAGCUCCGGCGGUGCAGGAUGAGCCCGCGGCCUAUCAGCUUGUUGGUGAGGUAGUGGCUCACCAAGGCGACGACGGGUAGCCGGCCUGAGAGGGCGACCGGCCACACUGGGACUGAGACACGGCCCAGACUCCUACGGGAGGCAGCAGUGGGGAAUAUUGCACAAUGGGCGAAAGCCUGAUGCAGCGACGCCGCGUGAGGGAUGACGGCCUUCGGGUUGUAAACCUCUUUCAGCAGGGAAGAAGCGAAAGUGACGGUACCUGCAGAAGAAGCGCCGGCUAACUACGUGCCAGCAGCCGCGGUAAUACGUAGGGCGCGAGCGUUGUCCGGAAUUAUUGGGCGUAAAGAGCUCGUAGGCGGCUUGUCACGUCGGUUGUGAAAGCCCGGGGCUUAACCCCGGGUCUGCAGUCGAUACGGGCAGGCUAGAGUUCGGUAGGGGAGAUCGGAAUUCCUGGUGUAGCGGUGAAAUGCGCAGAUAUCAGGAGGAACACCGGUGGCGAAGGCGGAUCUCUGGGCCGAUACUGACGCUGAGGAGCGAAAGCGUGGGGAGCGAACAGGAUUAGAUACCCUGGUAGUCCACGCCGUANACGGUGGGCACUAGGUGUGGGCAACAUUCCACGUUGUCCGUGCCGCAGCUAACGCAUUAAGUGCCCCGCCUGGGGAGUACGGCCGNCAGGCUAAAACUCAAA